UACGAAGGGGGCUAGCGUUGUUCGGAAUUACUGGGCGUAAAGGGCGCGUAGGCGGUGUGUCAAGUCAGGCGUGAAAGCCCCGGGCUCAACCUGGGAACCGCGCUUGAGACUGGCGCGCUCGAGUUCGGGAGAGGAUGGUGGAAUUCCCAGUGUAGAGGUGAAAUUCGUAGAUAUUGGGAGGAACACCAGUGGCGAAGGCGGCGAUCUGGGCAGAUACUGACGCUGAGGUGCGAAAGCGUGGGGAGCAAACAGG
Molecule: ribosomal RNA, 253 nt
Filed under: uncultured bacterium
Lineage: Bacteria
Description: partial 16S ribosomal RNA
Rfam family: Bacterial small subunit ribosomal RNA
Source: RNAcentral